AACGAACGCUGGCGGCAGGCCUAACACAUGCAAGUCGAGCGGACCCUUCGGGGUUAGCGGCGGACGGGUGAGUAACGCGUGGGAAUAUGCCCUUCUCUACGGAAUAGUCCUGGGAAACUGGGGGUAAUACCGUAUACGCCCUUUGGGGGAAAGAUUUAUCGGGGAAGGAUUAGCCCGCGUUGGAUUAGGUAGUUGGUGGGGUAAUGGCCUACCAAGCCGACGAUCCAUAGCUGGUUUGAGAGGAUGAUCAGCCACACUGGGACUGAGACACGGCCCAGACUCCUACGGGAGGCAGCAGUGGGGAAUCUUAGACAAUGGGGGCAACCCUGAACUAGCCAUGCCGCGUGAGUGAUGAAGGCCUUAGGGUUGUAAAGCUCUUUCAGCUGGGAAGAUAAUGACGGUACCAGCAGAAGAAGCCCCGGCUAACUCCGUG
RNAcentral lists this ribosomal RNA (433 nucleotides) under uncultured bacterium. RNAcentral's name for it is "partial 16S ribosomal RNA". It matches the Rfam family "Bacterial small subunit ribosomal RNA", at positions 29 to 507 of the family's 1533-position model. The record is from RNAcentral.